AUUUUCAUAUCUGCUUCUGAAUUCAAUCUUUUGAGAUAUCGCAUGCCACGUAACUACUGGAAAACUCGACACUCGUGAGAGAAUGAGGUUUCUUAAGCCUUCCUGAUUAACUAUUUGUAUGUGUGGACAACAGCGAUCAAGCACCCAGGAGAAGAAAUAUUCUUCUCAAAGUUAAAGAAGUUUUUUCUCUAGUCUUGGUGAACCAUGGCACUACCUCCGACCACCAGCAAUCAUAUCUCCUUGAAGCCUGAAGAGGCUCCCAGCGUGGAACGCAA
Molecule: long non-coding RNA, 275 nt
Organism: Enhydra lutris kenyoni (northern sea otter)
Lineage: Eukaryota; Metazoa; Chordata; Mammalia; Carnivora; Mustelidae
Exons: 4
Source: RefSeq, a predicted model, not a curated record